RNAcentral lists this ribosomal RNA (374 nucleotides) under uncultured organism. RNAcentral's name for it is "partial 16S ribosomal RNA". It matches the Rfam family "Bacterial small subunit ribosomal RNA", at positions 527 to 896 of the family's 1533-position model. The record is from RNAcentral.
GUAGGUGGCAAGCGUUGUCCGGAAUUAUUGGGCGUAAAGCGCGCGCAGGCGGUUCUUUAAGUCUGAUGUGAAAGCCCACGGCUCAACCGUGGAGGGUCAUUGGAAACUGGAGAACUUGAGUACAGAAGAGGAAAGCGGAAUUCCACGUGUAGCGGUGAAAUGCGUAGAGAUGUGGAGGAACACCAGUGGCGAAGGCGGCUUUCUGGUCUAUAACUGACGCUGAGGCGCGAAAGCGUGGGGAGCAAACAGGGAUUAGAUACCCUGGUAGUCCACGCCGUAAACGAUGAGUGCUAAGUGUUAGGGGGGUUUCCGCCCCCUUAGUGCUGCAGCUAACGCAUUAAGCACUCCGCCUGGGGAGUACGGCCGCAAGGCUG